RNAcentral lists this ribosomal RNA (731 nucleotides) under uncultured eukaryote. RNAcentral describes it as "SSU rRNA". It matches the Rfam family "Eukaryotic small subunit ribosomal RNA", at positions 672 to 1426 of the family's 1831-position model. The record is from RNAcentral.
GGCGUGUACUGCUUGGCUGGGCCUUACUUCUUGGUGAGCCGGCGUGCCCUUUAUUGGUGUGCGUCGGGGAACCAGGACUUUUACCUUGAGAAAAUUAGAGUGUUCAAAGCAGGCCUAUGCCUGAAUACAUUAGCAUGGAAUAAUAGAAUAGGACGUGCGGUUCUAUUUUGUUGGUUUCUAGAGUCGCCGUAAUGAUUAAUAGGGACAGUUGGGGGCAUUGGUAUUGAGUCGCUCCAGGUGAAAUUCUUGGAUUGACUCGAGACCGACUAUUGCUAAAGCAUUUGCCCAGGAUGUUUUCAUUAAUCAAGAACAAAGGUUAGGGGAUCGAAAACUAUCAUAUACCGUUGUACUCUUAACAGUAAACUAUGCCGACGAGGGAUCGGAUGACCUCAAAAUUGAUGUGUCAUUCGGCACCUUACGAGACAUCAAAGUCUUUGGGUUCUGGGGGGAGUAUGGUCGCAAGGCUGACACUUAAAGGAAUUGACGGAAGGGCACCACCAGGUGUGGAGCCUGCGGCUUAAUUUGACUCAACACGGGGAAACUCACCAGGUCCAGACAUAACUAGGAUUGACAGAUUGAUAGCUCUUUCAUGAUUUUAUGGGUGGUGGUGCAUGGCCGUUCUUAGUUGGUGGAGUGAUUUGUCUGGUUAAUUCCGAUAACGAACGAGACCUUAACCUGCUAAAUAGCCAGCCCGGCUUCGGCUGGUCUCUGGCUUCUAGAGGGACUGUCAG